Molecule: ribosomal RNA, 111 nt
Filed under: Alexandrium minutum
Lineage: Eukaryota; Dinophyceae; Gonyaulacales; Pyrocystaceae
Description: partial Bacterial small subunit ribosomal RNA
Source: RNAcentral
UAUAUAUAUAUAAGAAUAAUGAUGAGAAUAUAUAUAGAAGUCUUAACCAAAAUUAGUGCCAGCAGUUGCGGCUAAACUAAGGAGGCAAACGUUAAUCAUUAAUGGCUUAAA